Molecule: transfer RNA, 72 nt
Filed under: Camelus ferus (Wild Bactrian camel)
Lineage: Eukaryota; Metazoa; Chordata; Mammalia; Artiodactyla; Camelidae
Rfam family: tRNA
About the family: Transfer RNA (tRNA) molecules are approximately 80 nucleotides in length. Their secondary structure includes four short double-helical elements and three loops (D, anti-codon, and T loops).
Source: Rfam by way of RNAcentral
GCGGGCGUAGCUCAGUGAUACAGCACAUGCUUAACGUGCAUGGGGUCCUGGGUUCAAGCCCCAGCGCCUCCG